Molecule: ribosomal RNA, 1062 nt
Filed under: Triticum aestivum (bread wheat)
Lineage: Eukaryota; Viridiplantae; Streptophyta; Magnoliopsida; Poales; Poaceae
Description: partial small subunit ribosomal RNA
Source: RNAcentral
AUGAUGUCCAAAACUAGGAGUGCUGCAGAUUUUUGGGAGGCCGUAGAGACCAAGGGCCCCCUGCAAAGUGGUAUGGAAGAACCCCUGCUCAUGAUUAGAGCCUUGGGAGGACGCUAUGAGGUGAAACGGCUCAUGGGCGCACAGUUCAUCGCUUCUCCUGUCCCAUCACAAGUCAAACAGACUGGACUGCACUCCACAUUCUCACCACGUGUCCUUCACAAUGGGGUGCCCACCUCCCCCCCCCCCUACCCCGCGAUCUUGUAUUGUAGACGAUUGCAGCAAGGCGACCCUCCGUCACCGUUGCUCUUUGUCCUCGUCAUCGACCCUCGGAAGCAGACCGUCGAUGUGGCUAUGGAGCAAUACCUUCUACACAAAAUUGGUGGGCGAGAGACCACUUUCUGCACCUCGCUGCACGUGGGCGACAUCGCGAUCUUUGUUGCUCCUAUCAAGCAAGACAUCCAAAAUUUGGCGAUCAUCCCGAGUUCCUUUGGCGAGGUCACUGGGCUUUCCACCAACUUCCAAAAGAGCUUUGUUGUUGCUAUUCGAUGUGGACACCUCAACGUCGAUGACAUCCUUCAAAAUUGGCCGGCCACACGAACAUCUUUUCCAAUCAAAUACCUUGGCCUACCUCUCUUUGUGUGGCGACUAAGGAGACUGAAUUUCCAACCGCUCGAAGAAGAUCGCGGCCAAGCUCCCACCUUGGCAGGGGAGAAACAUCGCCACGAUUGGCUGAACCGCUCUGGGAAAUUUACCACACCACCCCUCUUGUCAUCCCAAUAUCACCAUUGGAAAUGGGGCCAAGGCGAUUCACCAUGGCUGAAUGGUACAAGGCCGAAAGACAUUGCCCCGCUCGUCCAUGAAGCCUCCAUGCGGAAGAAAUGGACAGUUGGGAAGGCUCUUGCAGGCAAUGCAUGGAUCCAACAGAUCAAGUUAACCGACGAUUUUACCAUGGAGCAUUUAUUCGAGUAUCUUGAGCUUUCGAAAAUGAUCUCGCACGUCCAGCUCAAUAACAAUGUGGAGGAGGCAAUCUCCUGGAGGCUGGCGGACAGCUGUACCUACUAG